UGGGGAAUUUUGGACAAUGGGCGAAAGCCUGAUCCAGCCAUACCGCGUGAGUGAUGAAGGUCUUAGGAUUGUAAAGCUCUUUUGACGAGGAAGAUAAUGACGGUACUCGUAGAAUAAGCACCGGCUAAUUUCGCGCCAGCAGCCGCGGUAAUACGUAGGGACCAAGCGUCGUUCGGAUUUACUGGGCGUAAAGGGCGCGUAGGCGGCUACACAAGUCAGAGGUGAAAGCCCGGGGCUCAACCCCGGAACUGCCUUUGAAACUAGGUGGCUAGAAUCUUGGAGAGGUCAGUGGAAUUCCGAGUGUAGAGGUGAAAUUCGUAGAUAUUCGGAAGAACACCAGUGGCGAAGGCGACUGACUGGACAAGUAUUGACGCUGAGGUACGAAAGCGUGGGGAGCAAA
RNAcentral lists this ribosomal RNA (400 nucleotides) under uncultured bacterium. RNAcentral describes it as "bacterial SSU rRNA". It matches the Rfam family "Bacterial small subunit ribosomal RNA", at positions 355 to 772 of the family's 1533-position model. The record is from RNAcentral.